AAUAUCUGAGAUAUUCUAGUUAAUAUAUAUUAUAUAUAUGUAAGUAAUGAUUAUUAUUAAUAUUUUAUAUUAUAUUAUAUUAUAUUAUAUAUAUAUAUGACAAAGAAAGAAAGAAAAGAAACAGAGAGCAAAACAAAACAAAACAGAGAAGGGAGAAAGAAAGAAACAGAGAGCAAAACGAAACAGAGAAGGAAGGAAGGAAAGAAAGAAAGAAAAGAAAAGAAAAAGGGAAAUUUAGGGUUUUAAGGUUCAAAGUAAUUUGGUAAGUCAAUUUAAUCCCCUUUUCUCUUAAUUUUGAUAUUUUUUUUUGAAAUCCUAGAAUAAAAUACUACUUGAUUUAAGUUGAAAUUUUGAAAGUUAGUAGAUUAUUAAGCAUGGUUCAUGUUGAAUAAAUUGUUAAAUUAGGGAUGUAUUUGAUAGAAAUUUUGAUUGGAAUUGAAUAAAGGAUUGAAUUGUAAACUAAACUAUAAGUUUUGAAUUUUAGGGAUUAAUUUGAAAUAAAUUCGGAAUUAUGAAAACAUGAUAAAAAUUAAAUAGUUAAAUAUGAGUUUAGCAAGAAAUUGGGUAGAAUAAGGGUAUGAAUUGAGAAAGAAAAAUAUAUAGGUUUAGUUAGGGGUUAAAUUGAUUUAAUUUCAAGUUAGAAGUUAGUAAAGAAUGUAAUUGUAAAAUAAAAUAUAAGUUUUGAAUCGAUAGGGAUUAAAUUGAAAGAAUCCCGAAAUUAGGGAUUUAUGGUGAAAUUGAGGAAUUAAAUUGACUUUAUAGUAAGAAUUAAGAGAGAAUAUAGAGUUAGAUUGGGAAAAAUAAAAUUAGUAUUGGUAAGGGAUAAUUAUAAAGUUUAGGUAUAAAAGGAAAUAUUUUAAUGAAAUUGUGUAUUAAUGAUUUUUAAUUGUUUAAUUACGUAGCUAAUGUCGUGUACGAGUCAUUGUCCGAGAAAGGAAAGGAGAAAGUGGACAAGGAGUGACUCGAGAGAAAU
This 973-nucleotide long non-coding RNA is filed under the name Gossypium barbadense (sea-island cotton). RNAcentral's name for it is "long non-coding RNA (GBAR_LNC016255)". Lineage: Eukaryota; Viridiplantae; Streptophyta; Magnoliopsida; Malvales; Malvaceae. The record is from RNAcentral.